Long non-coding RNA from Ictalurus punctatus (channel catfish), 2741 nucleotides. Lineage: Eukaryota; Metazoa; Chordata; Actinopteri; Siluriformes; Ictaluridae. The record is from Ensembl.
GAACGUCAACAUUUACCUCAGAUGUGUUGUUAAAUAACUAAUAAAAUGCUGCUUUUGGCUAAAAUUACACUGUAAUGUCACUUAGCAUCAAGUGCUAACACAGCUAACAUGCGUUCAAUACAGAGCUGUUCAACCUGUUGUUUGUUGUGCUAGCACAUGAUAGUAAGUGUAUUUACAGCGUGAUUGUACCUGUUCAUAUGAAGACAAUGUAAAGACGGUGGAAACGGUACGGAAUUGUCCGGAACAUUUACCUCAGAUGUGUUGAUAAAGUACUUUGAAAGUGCUCCAUUCGGCUAAAAUUACACUGUAAUUAAACUUAGCAUCAAGUGCUAACACAAAUUAUAUGGUUUUUACCAUCAACUUAAUUUCCGUACUUUAUUUACUGCUGUUAUAGAAAGUUAAUCAACAUCUUCUGACCAAUCAGAAUCCAGAACACAACAGCACUGUGGUGUGACAUAUUUAAUGUUUUAAUGCAGCCUGUGUGUGUGUGUGUGUGUGUGUGUGUGUGUGUGUGUUUUCUACUUUCACUUUUAGUGUGUAUGUGUGUGUGUGUGUGUGUGUGUGUGUGUGUGUGUGUGUUUGGCCUGAGAACUAUACAUCACAAAGCACUAACACAUGUGGAGGCCAGGCGAUGUGUGUGAGCUUGUUGUGUUUUUCCCCUUACUUCAGCACAUCUGAGAGAAGUUUCUGGAACUGCAGCUCCCUGUCAAAACAAAGAUGGCCGCCAGGGGCUUGAGAGGGACAGAGAACCGCAAAACCAGAGAGACUUUACGCUACAGCUCACUUCACAUGGGCCUCCAACACACACACACACACACACACACACACACACACACACACACACACACACACAAACUCUCUUUCUUAAAGGAACAUUUUUGGCCAAAGUAGACGAACAGCUGAGGCGUGUUUGGAUGCUAAUGUAGCUAACAAGUAGUGGAAGUCACGCAAAAUCUUUGCUAGUAUGGGCUUCCUGUCACACUUCAUCAUGUAGCUCAACACUCGAAGGUUAUUUACGAUGGCCGCCAUCUUGGGCAACCGGAAUCACUUCAUUUGUGUUUUUAUAUUAGCGCAUUUUGCUAAGACUCCUCUGUGUCAGAUAGUGUCUCCUGAACCACGUACAGAACAGACUGUUUAUGAAUAAGAUUUUGGGUGACAGACUUUAUCACUGUAACCUCAAGCACAAAACAUAGGAGACACUUUGUACCGUUAAUACCUGAGUAAACUAUUCCUUUAACACACACACACACACACAUACACACACACACACACACACACACACACACACACACACACACACACACACUGUCUUUCUGUCUCUCUCUGUCCCUCUAACACCCCCCCCCCCCCCCCACAACCCACCCCAAUCACACAGCUGGUUUUACUUAACGCUCUCUGUGGCUGUGUGUGUUUGGGUGUGUGUGUGUGUGAGAGAGAGAGAUUCAUUAGCUCUGGCUGUGUGUUUUGCACCAGUGCUGCGUGUGUUAUUGUUAGGAUGUGGUAAAAUUAUAAAUAUGGGAUACAGAUUUUGUGUGUGUGUGUGUGUGUGUGUGUGUGUGGUAUGUCUGGGCCACUGCCUGAUUGUACAGCAGUAAAACAAUUCUGUCACAAUUUGUAGCACUAACAGUUGAACGCGGCUGCAGAACACACACGCACACACACACACACACACACACACACACACACACACACACACACACGUGUUGCUUUAUUAUGGGCAUUAGAAGUGGAUGGUCUCUUCAGUUCAGUGCUAGCUAGAUAACUAAAUAGCUAACCAAAGCCUCGAAAAAAAUAAGUAAACACACAACGAUUCGUAAGCGUAAGUGAAAGUGAAAGCGUCUCUUUUUUAAAUAAUGAUAAAGGAAAGUGAUUUUUUACCUGAAUAUGUACUUAUUUUGUUCCAUCGACUUUUCAUUUGUUUUCAUCGUUGUCAGGUUCGCUACGUUAGUUAGCUAGUGGUUUCUCUUAUUCACACGUCAGCUAUUUUGUUUGUGGCAUCACAAAGAUUGAAGGGAAGUGUGCAACGCUUAAUCAGAAAAACAGACAUGUGGCUCUUUCCAUUGAUUCUGAUCUGAAAAGUUUUCAGAAACAAUUCCUACUUCUUUUCUUUUAACAAAAACAAAUAAUCGAUUACUAAUAAGCAAAUAGUUUACUAAAAUAAUGAAUUAUUUACAUAAAAACUGUAAAUCACGUACUAAAAAACGUAUACAGCUCAUUAUUUGUUCCAUGAAUCAAUUAACAUAAAUAUAUUAUAUAUAUAUAAUAAUAAAUGAGUCGAUCAUUUUAAAAGAUUCAGUUCCUUAAAAGUUGAAUUUAUUACUAAAAUAAGAACCGAACAUUAAAGAGUCUCUGAAAACUAUUUCUUCAAAAGAGAAUUUAUUACUAAACAAGAAUCAAUGACACAAACAGAUCAUUUUUUAUUUAAAAAAAUUGAUUACUAAAAAAGACUUAAUUACUAAAAAAAGAUUUAUUAAUAAAAACGAAGGGACUACUGAAAGGACGUUAGAGAUUAAUUUCAAAAGCUGAUUGAUUAAAACACUGACUGCUAAAACACUUACUCAAUAAUGAAGACCUGAUUAUUACUAAACAACAGCUGAUUAAUAAAAACAGAAUCUUUUGCUAAUAUUUAUUACCUGGUUUAGUUAGCUAGCGUUAACUAGCCAUGCUAAUGUUCGCUAGCUGGCGUAUUUGACAGGUCCUACAUUAAGAUUAGCUUCAGCUUCUGUUACUUCUGCAAAGGG